CUGAGUUUGAUCCUGGCUCAGAACGAACGCUGGCGGCAGGCUUAACACAUGCAAGUCGAGCGAGAUCUUCGGAUCUAGCGGCGGACGGGUGAGUAACGCGUGGGAACGUGCCCUUUGCUACGGAAUAGUCCCGGGAAACUGGGUUUAAUACCGUAUACGCCCUUCGGGGGAAAGAUUUAUCGGCAAAGGAUCGGCCCGCGUUGGAUUAGGUAGUUGGUGGGGUAAUGGCCUACCAAGCCGACGAUCCAUAGCUGGUUUGAGAGGAUGAUCAGCCACACUGGGACUGAGACACGGCCCAGACUCCUACGGGAGGCAGCAGUGGGGAAUCUUAGACAAUGGGGGCAACCCUGAUCUAGCCAUGCCGCGUGAGUGAUGAAGGCCUUAGGGUUGUAAAGCUCUUUCAGCUGGGAAGAUARNGACGGUACCAGCAGAAGAAGCCCCGGC
This 444-nucleotide ribosomal RNA is filed under the name Paracoccus sp. Gbf-Ret-10. RNAcentral describes it as "bacterial SSU rRNA". It matches the Rfam family "Bacterial small subunit ribosomal RNA", at positions 1 to 497 of the family's 1533-position model. Lineage: Bacteria; Pseudomonadati; Pseudomonadota; Alphaproteobacteria; Rhodobacterales; Paracoccaceae. The record is from RNAcentral.